Molecule: non-coding RNA, 84 nt
Filed under: Paenibacillus sp.
Lineage: Bacteria; Bacillati; Bacillota; Bacilli; Caryophanales; Paenibacillaceae
Also listed under: 1 other name
Description: c-di-GMP sequence
Rfam family: c-di-GMP-I-GGC riboswitch aptamer
Source: RNAcentral
CACGAUAAUGGCAAACCUGUCGAAAGACUGGGACGCAAAGCUAAAGGGCCUUACCUCUUAGAGGUUGGCAGCCAGCCACCGAAU